Long non-coding RNA from Amphiprion ocellaris (clown anemonefish), 890 nucleotides. The record is from Ensembl. NCBI's taxonomy places the organism in Eukaryota, Metazoa, Chordata, Actinopteri, Pomacentridae.
CUGGAGCCCCAUAGAGGGUUGUAACAACGGGGCCACUCUCUCCAUUCACCGAGAGAGGGGAGAGCGGUGCUGGUGGAGGAGGCGAGGAGGUGGUGGUGUGGCGUGGGGGUGGCGGUGGUGGUGGUGGUGAGAAGGAGGGGUGGCAGAGGAGGGAGAGGAGAAAACGUGUAAUCACCCAAACAACCGUUUGUUCUUUCUUUCUUUCUUUCUUUUUUUUUUUUUUUUCCCCAUUUCACCCCCUCUGGAUCCGUGUCGCAAGCCUGCAGUCUGCCGUGAGUCUGUCUGUCUUUCAUUGCGGAUACCGUGACGGAAGGCCGGACCACCGGGAGGAAAACACCAAGAGGGGGAAGAUGGAAACUGGAUGCAUGAGGAGAAGCACGUCGACAACACAUCCUGAAGUUCAAUUUUUAUAUAGGCGCAGUGGAGACAGACAGGAAAGGAGGGAGAAGAGUGGGGGAAGACAUGCAGCAAAGGGCCGGGAGCAGGAAUCGAACCCAGGCUGCUGCAUCGGGGACCACCUUCUGUAUUGCUGUCAGUGGUGACCGGUGAGGUGACGGACAGGACCCAGGAGAGGGGACAGCUGCUGCACGUCAAUCCACAUCAUAAUUUGAAAAGCUUUUCCACAUGAGCUGAAACAGAAAGAGAACGAAAAGAGGAACGAACCGACUAUCUGCUGCCUUCUCCUCCAUCAGUCACCUCCAUCUCCCUCCCGUCCGCCUUCUCACUUUUCCGCCUGUCUUUUGUUUUCUUCCCGGCAUGAAAUUAUAGUGUGCUCUUGCUUUUUAGAUGGUGAGGUGUAAAGUCGUGGCAUUCUUUGGUGCCUACAUCAACUUGUGUCCGCUGAAGAUGUUAUGAUCAAAAAGUGCAUUCAUUUUAGGUGUAAGUUAAAC